CCUACGGGUGGCAGCAGUGGGGGAUAUUGCACAAUGGGGGGAACCCUGAUGCAGCGACGCCGCGUGGGUGAAGGAGCGUUUCGGCGCGUAAAGCCCUAUCGGCAGGGAAGAAGAUGACGGUACCUGACCAAGAAGCCCCGGCCAACUACUUGCCAGCAGCCGCGGUAACACGUAGGGGGCAAGCGUUAUCCGGGUUUAAUGGGGGGAAAGGGGGCGCAGACGGCAAUGCAAGCCAGGAGGUAAAGCCCUGGGGCCAACCCCGGGACUGCUCUUGGAACUGGAUGGCUGGAGUACAGGAGGGGCAGGCGGAAUUCCUAGUGUAGCGGUGAAAUGCGUAGAUAUUAGGAGGAACACCGGUGGCGAAGGCGGCCUGCUGGACUGUGACUGACGUUGAGGCCCGAAGGCGUGGGGAGCAAACAGGAUUAGAUACCCGGGUAGUC
RNAcentral lists this ribosomal RNA (440 nucleotides) under uncultured bacterium. RNAcentral's name for it is "partial 16S ribosomal RNA". It matches the Rfam family "Bacterial small subunit ribosomal RNA", at positions 338 to 795 of the family's 1533-position model. The record is from RNAcentral.